RNAcentral lists this ribosomal RNA (377 nucleotides) under uncultured eukaryote. Its description in RNAcentral is "partial 18S ribosomal RNA". It matches the Rfam family "Eukaryotic small subunit ribosomal RNA", at positions 592 to 975 of the family's 1831-position model. The record is from RNAcentral.
CAAUAGCGUAUAUUUAAGUUGUUGCAGUUAAAAAGCUCGUAGUUGGAUUUCGGGUGGGACGCAGCGGUCUCGCAUUGCGUUUGUACUGCUGCAGCCCUCCUUCUUGCCGGGGGCGGCCUCUCGGACUUCACUGUCUGGGGGUCAGAAUCGGCGAUGUUACUUUGAGUAAAUUAGAGUGUUCAAAGCAAGCUUACGCUCUGAAUAUAAUAGCAUGGGAUAACACGACAGGACUCUGGCCUAUCGUGUUGGUCUAUAGGACCAGAGUAAUGAUUAAGAGGGACAGUCGGGGGCAUUCGUAUUCCGUUGUCAGAGGUGAAAUUCUUGGAUUUACGGAAGACGAACAUCUGCGAAAGCAUUUGCCAAGGAUGUUUUCACUG